GCCGGGCGCUGUGGCACAUUCCUGUAAUCCCAGCUACUCAGGAGACUGAAGCAGGAGAAUUCCUGAACCCAAGAGGCGGAGGUUGCAGUGAGCCAAGAUCGCACCAUUGCACUCCAGCCUGGGCAACAAGAGUGAANNNNNNNNNNUUCACUCUUGUUGCCCAGGCUGGAGUGCAAUGGUGCGAUCUUGGCUCACUGCAACCUCCGCCUCUUGGGUUCAGGAAUUCUCCUGCUUCAG
Molecule: non-coding RNA, 237 nt
Organism: Chlorocebus sabaeus (green monkey)
Lineage: Eukaryota; Metazoa; Chordata; Mammalia; Primates; Cercopithecidae
Rfam family: Metazoan signal recognition particle RNA
About the family: The signal recognition particle (SRP) is a universally conserved ribonucleoprotein.
Source: Rfam